This 4918-nucleotide long non-coding RNA is filed under the name Canis lupus familiaris (dog). RNAcentral describes it as "lncRNA (ENSCAFG00000053229.1)". The record is from RNAcentral. Lineage: Eukaryota; Metazoa; Chordata; Mammalia; Carnivora; Canidae.
UUUGUUUAUUUUAGAGGGAGAGCGCAUAUGAUUGGCGGGAGGGGCAGAGGGAGAGAAUCUCAAGCAGAUUCCUCCCUGAGCACAGAGCCUGAGGUGGGGCUCUAUCUAACAACCCAUGAGAUCAUGACCUGAGCCAAAACCAAGAGUCAGGUGCUUAACCAAAUUAUUCACCCAGGCACCCUCAAAUACAUUUUCAAGAGGGAGUAAGCCAUACAUUUAUUCCCUACAGCUACUUCUUUGGUGAUAUACAGAGGUUUCCUCACAAUGUUUUUUUUUUUUUUUUUUCCCCUUUCUCCUUCCACCUACUUCCCCUUACAGUGUUUAAAGAAGCACACCUAGGGGUGCCUGUGUGGCUUAGUCGGUUAAGCAUUGCUUUAGGUCAUGAUCCUGGGGUUGGUCCUGGGAUCAAGCCCCACAGCAGGCUCUCUGCUCAGCAGGGAGUCUGUUUGUCUCUCUCCCCAUCCCUCUGCCCCUCCCCACUGCUCAUGCUUUCUCUCUCUCUCUCACUUGCACACUCUCUCUCAAUAAAUAAAAUCUUAAAAAAAAAAAAAAAAGCACACGUACUUGCUGAAUGAGAUGAGAUCUUUCAAAAGCAGAAUAAAAGACUUAAAGCCAUUAGUAUCCUUCCUUUAAUGUCAACAAAUAAGCCAUCUAGUUUCUUUAGAACCUUCAAAGGAUCUUGCAGGGGGUAAAUUAUGCUCCUGAUUGAAUUUAUUCAAGGAAACUUUAUUUCUCUAUUGUCCUAUUUCUCCUUUGUUCCUGUUUAUAUCCUGACUUCCUAGGGUGGCUGGCACAUAGCACCUGCUUAAAAUGUUGGUUAUAUUGAAAUUACGAGCAUAAAUGUCGGAUGAAUGUCUGCAACCCCAGCAUGAGUCUCAAACUAGCCAUGUAGUACACAUUAGUUAUAAACUGGACCAUCAGCCUCCCUCUUAACUAAUCAGAUUGCAUGCUUCAAUUAAUCUGUCUUAGCCAUGCUUACUAUGGAAAAGGGUGGUAUAAAGAUUUAUGGGCCAGAAAUAAUGGGGACAGCUGGAGUUUAAAUGGGAAAGUGCACAGGUGAAUUUCAGAGACAGAAGGGUAGCAUUAACAGCAACGUCUAUGAUUACAGAUUGUUUGUUUUGCGUCUAUAGUCAAUGGAUUAGUUUCCUCCUCAUAUGGGAUAGUUCCUUGGUGCCCAUGAUAUAGCAUGGCCCCUGAUUUGUAAGGACAUCUGUCUUCUAAAGAGCAUAACAUAUCUUUGAUUUUCAGUCUGGUAAUCUUGCUAAUAAGUCCUAAAACAAACUGAUUUUUUUUUUCCAGCUUAAACUGUAGAAGGGUUACUGAGCCUAGAAAUUACAGUUCCCAAUGAGACUUCAUGUUAGAUUUCAACAUUUUACAGUUAUCUACCUAGAGAGCUAUAUACUCCCAUCCCCCUUCUUAAAACCCUAUUUGUGUUAUACCAUAUCGGCCAAAGUCUACUAAGUUGGACUCUGUUCAAAUAACAGAAAGAUAAAGUAAGGGUGUGCAUAUUUCAGACAUCUUAAUGUGGGCCUACACGGGAGAAUUUGAGUUUUGCAGUGAAAAACAUUAGCAGUAUGUCAUAUACAAAUUGUAUUUUCAAAAACCAUGUUUUAACUUUUAACAUUUUCAAAAUAAGUGAUAUUUAUAAAAACUAAAUUUAAUGGUAGAACAUGUUUUUAAAAUAAACAUAUCCCAGGGCACCUGGGUGACUCAGUUGGUUGAGCAUCUCCCUCUGGCUCAGGUCAUGAUCCCAGGGUCCUGGGAUGGAGCCUCACAUCAGGCUUCCUGCUCAGCAGGGAGCUUGCUUCUCCCUUUCCCCCACUUGUGCUCUCUCUCGCUGCUCUCUCAAAUAAAUAAACUCUUAAAAAAAUAUAUAUAUAUAUCCCUACCCAUCUGGGUGUGCAUGGUUUUUCCCAUUUGUACAUAUAAUUUCCUCAAAUUAUUAAGCACUGUAUUUUGGUAACAACAUGAUGGAUUCAUAAGCUUUUAUGCACACAGUACAUGUUUAUUAGAGUUGAUUUGGGCAUAAUUUUCAGAGACAACUAUGGGCAUAAUUUAUAUCUAAUUAAUAGACUUUUUAAGUAGUUACCUAUCUCAUUUUGUUUAGAUUUUCUCCACCUUGGCACUACUGAUGAUUUGAACUGAAUAAUUUUUUGUUGAGGGGGGUGGCGGAUCCUGUGCCUUAUAGGAUAUUUAGCAGCAUCUCUGGCUUCUAACCACUAGAUGCCGGGAGUAUACCCCAAUCCCCCAUUCAGCGGUGACAUCUCCAAGAUACUGCCAAAUGUCCCCUGGUGGGCAAAAUUGCUUCCAGUUGAGAACCACUGGUUUAAAACAAGUAAAAUAUACAUUUUCUCUUAUGAGAAAACUUCUUUAUAGUCUUUGUACAUGAUAAGAUCCUGUAUUAUAGUUAUCAACCUCUGGACAAAUACAGUCUUACUUGAAAGGUUAACACAACUUUUGUUUUAAUACAUUUGAAAGUUAAGGAUGGAAUGAGGCAAAACUUACCACAAGGGGACUCUCAGGAAGUAAAUGAGUCUUUUUGGCUAUGUUAUCCUGUCUUGAAUCAUUGUAGAAGAAAAUUGGCCAUGGAUAAUCUCCCUUUCAUAAAAUAAGUUCAUUCAAUAUGGAAGGAAAAUAAACUCCUUUAGGCCAUUUUCAGUAAAACCCAGGUUGGAGGUAGCAGUAACUGUGUUAUAAGGAUUAUGCAGGAAUCUGCAUAAGGAAUAAUAAUUUUAAAAACCUGUUUGAAAUGCUUCUGUUGAAAAUAUUUAUUAAAUAUAUAAUUACACCAUAUUUAGGAAUAUCGUUAUUUAUAAUGUCAGGAUCAUCAUCCUAAACACUGAUUUUCAUUGUUGGUAUUUAUGGGAAGUUGCCCCCUACUUUUUUAAAGAUUAUUUGUUGAGAGAGAGAGAGAACCCAUGAUUGGGAGGAGGGGCAGAGGGAGAGAGAGAGAGACAAUCUCAAGUGAACUUCACAAUGAGCAUGGAGCCCGACACGGGGCUCCAUCUCCUCAUCCCAAGAUCAUGACCUGAGCCACCCAGGCGCCACUGGGGAAAUUGCCUUUUCAAACAAAUCCCUUAUACUGUCUUUGUUGCAAUUUGUUUUUUUCCUAAAAAGUUGAAAUAUAGGUAGGAAAUCAGUGAAUGAAUCUAAGCCAUUCUCCUGUAGCUAUCUCACUGGGGCACUGUGUCCUAGCUUAUAUACUCAAUCAGCUGGGUUGGAACCGACUCAGGAGUAGACUCGGGGAUGGCCCCAGGGGCAAAGAUGGGGCAGAGGCUGAACUGUCUGUGGGGACAAGUUCAUGUUUAGGCUGCUGUCCUGUAUCUUUCCUAAAGAGUAUCAAGCGAGUGAUUCUCCAACAGAACUCCUUGUCUCUGCUCUUUGACAGAACAAAUUAUUAAGACAUCUAAGAUUUUAAAGCACUUUGAAGAUUAAUGAUUGGCUAUAAAUCCUAUUUAAGACCAAUCUCUUUGAUAAAUCACUUUAGGGAUAAUAACUUAUAAAUGGCAAGAAAAAGGUCUCUUCUGUUAAUGACUCACUGUGGUUAAUGGUUUACACAGUCAUUACAUAGCUUUACAUGCAUGAGACUAAAAAGACACGAAGAAGCCUGUCACUCUGGAACAGUCUGGAACAGUCUGAAACGACUGCUAUGGCAAUAGACUGAGCUGUUUAUACAGUGUUUCCACCUGAGGCACUGUCCUGUGAAUACUCAAAUACUGACACAGUUUCAGGAUUAAGAUCUAACUUCUGAAAACAAUAGCUCACUCUGUAUUUAUUAACUGGCUAAAUAUUUUAAGCAAGUUCUACCCCCCCCCCCACUUUGGGAGAAAAUAAACCCUGGGAAUUAUGCCUAAUUCUAGCAGGACUUAGGAGGAAAGAACCAGCAUAUACACAGGCUUACGUACAAUGGCACCAUGAACAUAAUUCUGCUGCCCCCAGGGAUCUUUAUUUAUGUGGCAAUUAGGUGACACACAAAGGACAAUGUCAAGAAUGUGACGCCUGAGCUCCUCAGCUCAGCCCAGCAAUUGAGAGAACAAGACAGAGUGCAGUUUUCAAAAAGCCAGCCUGGGCUGCAUCUGAAAACCACACCCUUGGUCCCAAUUUGCUUACAUUUGCUACAUUUUAAUUUUACAAAGUACUUUCACAAGGUCUUAUUUUAUGAUAACCUCUUAGGGAUAUAUUCAAACCAUUGCCCAGAAAGGAAAAAGAACAUUUACCAUAUAUGCCUACAGAUCCACAGGCUGUGUGCUUUGGCAUAUUAUUUAAACUGCUCACAUAACAGAAUGGGAGGAUAAAGACCAAAGUUCACUACCUGUCAGAGAGUUUGAAUUGUAAUAUUCAGAUAUGGAACUCAAGUAGGAAGAAGACCAACCUAAUGCUUUGCCAACCUAUGACCACCUUUGCAAGAAUGUUUACCUUGUUUUCAUCUCCUGAGAACAACCCACUUACACAGACUACAACACGAGGGGACUAAUUUUGUAGCAAGUACUUUACCAAUAUUGUUUCCUAGCUAGAUUCCAGUAAAGGUAAAACAAAUAGGUAAGAAACAUUUACAGAAUUCUUCAUACAAUUAACAUGAAGUGCUUACCAUCUUUCUGGGGUUUAGACAUCCGGUUUCACCUUGAAAUGCUAUACUGCAUUCUGAUCUUCAAUUGCGAAGAAGUAAUCCCGUUUCACUUAUUUCAUAAUUUUAAUGAGGGGGCUUACGAAGUUCAGUUUUGGGGGUGGGGGAGGAUUUUCUUAUUCAGUGUCUUCAAUCAAGGCUUCCCAAUCUUUUCCAAUCUUUCUGGCACAUCUGUGAAAUGACUUGUGCAUUUGUAUGUGGCUGCAAGUAACCAGCCCAAGAAUAACUUCCUCGAGGGGAACGAUUUCGAAGCACUUUUAAUGGAAAGUUCUGUUGUUUAUCGCCCCGCUGUAC